GCCACCCCGUUACAAAGGAAACGUUUGGCCGUUUCAGUCCAUGGCCUGAUACGGCAACACCACCGAGGGCGCUGAGAUGGAAGACACCAAAUCUCCGAUUUUUUAAACCCAUAACCACACCCAAAAAUGUUUUAAUGAAAACUCCACUGAAUUGGGUAAACUGAGAAAACUGAACGGCAGGGUUGCUCGACUGCAAUCCUACCUCGGCCGAGAAACCGAACAAUUGCUCCCUUGUUAUUUCAGCAAACAUACCUUGAGCACUAUUCUCAAACUGUGGCUUGGGAACGCGAUGUAACCGGAGCUUUGCCACUCCUGCCAUUUCAUGACGUAAACGCAACAGCCAUAUGACAAAUCGUUUCUUCCUGAUUUGACAUUCGCCACAUUCCCUGUCAGGGGAAAGGGAGGGCGGUCCGUUCACUUCCGGUCAUCUGCUCCUCCCUCCGCCGUGUGUGUGUGUGUGUCCUCCCUCCGCCUCUUAAUAUCCGCGGCCUAUUAGGAGGUCUGGUUGGGGGUCGCUCUCCCCUAGGGCAGGCGGCCGAUUGGGGGCGGCGCGAAUCGCUGUGAGGUCGUGAGGUAGAGAAUUGUUGUGGUGUGGUGGAAAGAGUAAAAAGAGUUGUUGGUUUGAAUUGCGCUAGCAAAGCCCCGCAGCGGCUGCAGCAGGAGGUGAGAAAACAGCGACAGAAGUAAACAAAUAAAAAUGGUCACGAGUGUUUCCUAAUCAGCAUCCUCCCCCAUGUGGCAAACUGCGUAUCAACCCAACCUUCCUCACUCAUCCAGCAGAUUCAUCCUCAAGCAAGCCGGUAGUACGCAACGUUUUAACAGUACCAUAUCACCAUUGUUGUUGCCCGUGAGCCAACCUUGCUAACGCCGCACUUGAUUAGCCCACUGUGGGCCCCCCUACCUCCCCCUUACCUCCCAUAUGAUUAGCAUAUCUGGGGUUGCUGGGCCGGGGCAGGGGGAGGGCGGAGUUGGCCUAGUUAAGACUGACUUAGUAUCCUAAUCAGGACAUAUGUUGCACCCGCUGAUAUUAAUCUACCUGUCUGUCUACCUACCACUAGCUGUAUUCGCGGAAUCUGGCACUUGCCUAAUCGCCUGCACACCACCUCUACCUGUCAAUAUCAUGUCUUCAGAUGAUGUCGGACGGCUGCUCCUGCGGCCCUUCCCCCGGUCGACCGGCUCGUAUAUCUGAUAUAUACCCUCGGGCCGGCGUGGCUGCAUCAUUGGUGGGGGGAUUCAUCCGCCGGCCGCAAGCUGUUUCCAACACCGGCGGGAUCGAAUUCCACUUUCCAUUCCACUUUCAUCAUCGCGCACUCGCCUGUACUCGUAACAGCAUCUACAGCAAACCCUGUCUCAGCGGGCGGCGGCGUGGAUAGCCCCCAGCCAGGUUGGGUGUGGAAUGUUACGGGGGUUAGAAUGGGGUUACUGCGCGUGAGUGUGUCCUCUCUUGAGCGUUUCGAGUCCUGUCAUCUCCAUUCGCCUUCCUUUGUCCGUUUCGUCCUUUCUCCAUCUAUUACCAGCUGCCCAACCCACUUGGCAUCUGGCCGUGUGAAAAGAAUUUGGGGCUUCUGGUGCGAGUGCUCUGAUCACGGAUUGAAGUACCUUACGAUCAGAAGUUUCUACCAAGUUUUUUGAGCGGGGAGCUUACCCGUCCGUCGGGGUAACCAGUCCGCAAACCGCGGUGUUUUAGUGUUGAUAGCUAGCAGGCAUAUGCUUUAUCUGCCUUCGGUAAAUGUUGCCUUGAUCGUAGCGGUUAGGGUCAUGCAGCUACGUACCGCGGCUUUAGCGCAAAUCCCUGCCUGGCGUUUGCUGAACACAAAGAGAAGCGCGCAAGAACUCGGCAAUUUCAUAGAGGCG
RNAcentral lists this long non-coding RNA (1854 nucleotides) under Volvox carteri. RNAcentral's name for it is "long non-coding RNA (VCAR_LNC003129)". Lineage: Eukaryota; Viridiplantae; Chlorophyta; Chlorophyceae; Chlamydomonadales; Volvocaceae. The record is from RNAcentral.